AGAUUGAACGCUAGCGGGAUGCUUUACACAUGCAAGUCGAACGGCAGCGCGGACUUCGGUCUGGCGGCGAGUGGCGAACGGGUGAGUAAUAUAUCGGAACGUGCCCAGUAGCGGGGGAUAACUACGCGAAAGCGUGGCUAAUACCGCAUACGCCCUACGGGGGAAAGGGGGGGAUCGCAAGACCUCUCACUAUUGGAGCGGCCGAUAUCAGAUUAGCUAGUUGGUGAGGUAAUGGCUCACCAAGGCGACGAUCAGUAGCUGGUCUGAGAGGAUGACCAGCCACAGUUGGGACUGAGACACGGCCCAAACUCCACGGGAGCAGCAGUGGGAAUCGUGCGCAAGUGGGACGAAAGCCUGACGACACGCCAGUCGCCGCG
RNAcentral lists this ribosomal RNA (377 nucleotides) under uncultured soil bacterium. RNAcentral's name for it is "bacterial SSU rRNA". It matches the Rfam family "Bacterial small subunit ribosomal RNA", at positions 26 to 401 of the family's 1533-position model. The record is from RNAcentral.